RNAcentral lists this small RNA (728 nucleotides) under Histoplasma capsulatum G186AR. RNAcentral describes it as "hypothetical RNA". Lineage: Eukaryota; Fungi; Ascomycota; Eurotiomycetes; Onygenales; Ajellomycetaceae. The record is from RNAcentral.
UCUGACUCGAUCGGGAUUCCACCUUAGUGGCUUUAUUCCUCAAGUGGACUAACCGACCGGCUGAGCUCACCUCUCCGAGGCUCUCAAAUCACUCCGCCGGUCUCCACGGAUCCCGGUGGUUUCGUUAGUGGAAUGCUUAAUAGACUUUAGUGCUCGCCGCAUCAAAAUAUCAGCGAGAAAUCUGUCUUCGUGGAUGCUUUUUGGCUUGCAAUCUCCAGAGUACACCAACGUAUGGAUGCUGUGUCGGGUAUCAAUGAAUUCUCCAGAAAUCCCUUUUUGAAGCCCAGAAAGUUGAGAAAUCUAUAGAGCAUAUUCAUUAUAUAUCUCCACAAUCGAAAAUAAAAAUUCUGGCGUGAUGAUACUGUCAAGUUCUUCAAUCCUCAUGCUGCUGCUGGGAGUUGCGGUGUGAGCGCUCACAUGCUUGCUGCUGCUCCUUCCCUAGGUAUCAGCAACAAGCUUUCCAAUUGUAAGAAUAAGUUAUCAAAUUAAUUAUUAAAAGAGCUUCAUGGCUUCAAAUAUAUAACUAUAUAAAUACAAUAUAAAAACAUAAUAAAAACAUAAUAAAAAUAUAAUAUAACGAGAAAACCCUACAUCAACCCAUUAUGUAUUUCCCACACAGUACAUGUGAAACGGGCAGGAGUCGAAAGCAGAGAAAUAUGGAGCUCACACAGUGCAGUUAUGAGAAGUUGUUCAUUUCUUAUGUCCAUGCAUUAAGAUAAUUUAUUUAU